Molecule: ribosomal RNA, 492 nt
Filed under: uncultured bacterium
Lineage: Bacteria
Description: partial 16S ribosomal RNA
Rfam family: Bacterial small subunit ribosomal RNA
Source: RNAcentral
AGUGAACGCUGGCGGUAGGCCUAACACAUGCAAGUCGAACGGCAGCACAGUAAGAGCUUGCUCUUACGGGUGGCGAGUGGCGGACGGGUGAGGAAUACAUCGUAAUCUACUUUUUCGUGGGGGAUAACGUAGGGAAACUUACGCUAAUACCGCAUACGACCUACGGUUGAAAGCAGGGGAUCUUCGGACCUUGCGCGAUUGAAUGAGCCGAUGUCGGAUUAGCUAGUUGGCGGGGUAAAGGCCCACCAAUGCGACGAUCCGUAGCUGGUCUGAGAGGAUGAUCAGCCACACUGGAACUGAGACGCGGUCCAGACUCCUACGGGAGGCAGCAGUGGGGAAUAUUGGGCAAUGGGCGCAAGCCUGAUCCAGCCAUACCGCGUGGGUGAAGAAGGCCUUCGGGUUGUAAAGCCCUAUUGUUGGGAAAGAAAAGCAGCAGGUUAAUACCCCGCUGUUCUGACGGUACCCAAAGAAUAAGCACCGGCUAACUUCGUG